CUGUCUCUUUCCCCUGCUCUCUGCCAAGGGAGCUAAGGCUCCCUGGUCCUUGGAAAGUGGCCAGACUCUUUCCUGGGGACGAAUUCACCUAGUUGUGUCUCCGGGGCUGCGCUGGGAGUGCGGAGCCGUGCCUAAGACCUGGGCAGGAUGGAGCAGGGGCUCUGGCUAGCAGGGUGUGCAGUCUAUCCGAGGUCAUGGUGCAUGGAAAGAAUAAUCAGCUCGUGGCAGGGACCGGGACUCCCCGACCAGGGUUCCAGACGGACUCAGGAGAAACGCCGCCAGGACUAAAGUCAGGCAGGACCAGGAUUGUGCAACCCACUUCAGAAACGGGAGCUGUUUGUGCAAUGAAAUCCAACACUGCCUAGAAUUUUCUGACAAUGGGAAAGAGCCCUGUUUGGGAAGCCAGCAACAAGCGAUAAAGAAAGCAAAGCAUAUAUGGAGAUAAUUAUUAGCAUUUCAUCCUCAGACCUGGACCGCUUGAGGAAGGAAGGGAUUUUGCACCCAGUGCCCCCAGAAAUCGGAAAGGCUGCACCAAAAGAGACACUCAACAGAACAAAAGGAAAAAGUGACGGCAUUUGUUAGAGCACCACUAGACGCAGAAAUGAGCCCAGAGGAUUCUAAUCAGAGCCUGUUCAUUUUGUCCCAAUUAAGAUAUUUUUAUUCACUGUGCAUUAAAAAACCAUCUGUGUUUUAACAUUG
Alligator mississippiensis (American alligator) is the source of this 699-nucleotide long non-coding RNA. RefSeq lists it as uncharacterized. The transcript is spliced from 3 exons. The record is from RefSeq and is a predicted model, not a curated record. NCBI's taxonomy places the organism in Eukaryota, Metazoa, Chordata, Crocodylia, Alligatoridae.